CAUGGAAGGCGGAUCAAACCUAAAGAAGACAGUGAAAAAUCUGACUUAUGAAGAACUGCAUAAACAAAAACGUCAAUUGACAUCAACUUUAUUGAAAAUUUAUCCAGAUCUCGUAAAUUUUGAACCCGACAUUCAAUCAAUUGUCGAAACCUUCACGUUGUCGCUUGACAAUCGACUGAAUUUGGAAACUAUAAUUCGAAAACUGAACGAUCAUUUAUCAAAGUCAACGUUCCCUUCAGACGGGCUGAUAAAAUUUAAAAAACUCAUUUUUUCGAAAAAUAAUUUGAAUAAUUUGGACGCAUUACCCAUUGGAAUUAUACUGUCUAUUGACAUGCACAGUCAUGCUGCUCAAGCGGCAUUGAAUGUUAAGCACACGAAAAUUUUAUACUCAAGAGAAAAUUUAAAAUCGAGCGAAAAUUCUGAAGUCAUUACAAACCAAGAACUCAAACAUCCGAUUCUUCCAGAUAUUGAUGUAACUGUACUGCAUCAAGGUGUAAAGUACUGUUGGUUUCGCAUAAAACUUUUCAGUCAUCAAGAUUUUUCUCAACUCGAGUUACCAUUUACGCCGGUGCAUUACUACUUUUAUACAAGUCUUAUUGUGGAAAUUUAUUACCAUCGAGAAUGUCGUAAUUACAAAGACAUCUAUUGGCUCACGAUGGACUAUUUGAAUUCGUCACCGCUAAUUGACAAAAUAUAUUUUUUUUCUGACUGCCGAUUGGUCGAGCGGAUUGACAAUAAAGUCAUACAGUUUUCAAAUACUUUGAAAUUUUUGUAUUGCUACCGCCUAAAUACGGCAAGUUUUUCAGUGACGUCAAUUGACGAUUUAGAAAAUUUGUUUAAGCUAUUAAUCCGCACUACUGUUUUUUUGUACCGGCGUAAUUUCAAUAUGGUCAAUGAAGAUUUGGACACACCAUUCACGGCUCUUACGGGGGAACGGGCUCAUAUUAAUGUUCGUCGAUUUUUAAGCGAAGAGAAUAUAUAUUCAGUAAAUAAUGCACGCGAUGGGUUGAUAUUGGGUACUGGUACGCAAAUCGGAGGAAUCAAUCCACAUGAAGUUAUAAUAAAGUGCAGUGACUUUGUUAAACCGUGACAAGAUCCUUGAGACACUUCGGAAUAUGAUCUGCAAUUGAACAAUCAAUAAAGCUCAUCUAUCUUACCACAUGAUCCGGUGUUAUUUGAACGAAGUUUUAUUUUCGCUGUCAAGUUAUUCAAUGUUUAUGGAUCAUAAAUAAUUCCGUGUUCCCAUUUAAAAAAAAGAGUCAAUGAUCUAAUUUUAACUGUACCUAUAUUCUAAAACGACAUCUAGUUUUCGUAAGUUAUUUCUAAUCACAUAUAAUAUAAAAUUAUUCUUGAAUGAA
RNA transcript from Microplitis demolitor, 1358 nucleotides. RefSeq lists it as uncharacterized. Lineage: Eukaryota; Metazoa; Arthropoda; Insecta; Hymenoptera; Braconidae. The record is from RefSeq and is a predicted model, not a curated record. The transcript has 3 exons.